Molecule: ribosomal RNA, 749 nt
Filed under: uncultured bacterium
Lineage: Bacteria
Description: bacterial SSU rRNA
Rfam family: Bacterial small subunit ribosomal RNA
Source: RNAcentral
AGAGUUUGAUCAUGGCUCAGGAUAAACGCUGGCGGCGUGCCUAACACAUGCAAGUCGAACGCUCUGCGCAAGCGGGAGUGGCGGACGGGUGAGGAACACGUGGGUCAUCUACCUUCUGGUGAGGAAUACCGGCGAGAAAUCGCCGACAAAACCGCAUACGCUUGGGAAACCAAGCAAAGUCGCAAGACGCCGGGAGAUGAGCCUGCGUCCGAUUAGCCUGUUGGUGGGGUAAAGGCCUACCAAAGCGACGAUCGGUAGCUGGUCUGAGAGGACGAUCAGCCACACUGGGAUUGAGAACGGCCCAGACUCCUACGGGGGGCAGCAGUGAGGAAUUUUCGUCAAUGGGGGCAACCCUGAACGAGCAACGCCGCGUGCAGGAAGAAGGUUUUCGGAUCGUAAACUGCUUUUCUGUGGGAAGAGAUCGGACGGUACCACAGGAAGAAGCCCCGGCUAACUACGUGCCAGCAGCCGCGGUAAUACGUAGGGGGCGAGCGUUGUCCGGAGUUACUGGGCGUAAAGGGCGUGCAGCGGUGCAGUACGUUUGGAGUGACAGUGCCUGGCUUAACCGGGCAAGGUCUUCAAAAACGGCUGGACUUGAGGGCCAGAGAGGGACAUAGAAUUCCGGGUGGAGUGGUGAAAUGCGUAGAUAUCCGGAGGAAUACCAAAGGCGAAGGCAGCGUCCUGGCUGGCAUCUGACGCUGAGGCGCGAAAGCCAGGGGAGCGAACAGGAUUAGAUACCCCUGUAGUCC